This 235-nucleotide ribosomal RNA is filed under the name uncultured Staphylococcus sp. RNAcentral describes it as "partial 16S ribosomal RNA". It matches the Rfam family "Bacterial small subunit ribosomal RNA", at positions 127 to 354 of the family's 1533-position model. Lineage: Bacteria; Bacillati; Bacillota; Bacilli; Caryophanales; Staphylococcaceae. The record is from RNAcentral.
UACCUAUAAGACUGGGAUAACUUCGGGAAACCGGAGCUAAUACCGGAUAAUAUUUCGAACCGCAUGGUUCGAUAGUGAAAGANGGUUUUGCUAUCACUUAUAGAUGGACCCGCGCCGUAUUAGCUAGUUGGUAAGGUAACGGCUUACCAAGGCUACGAUACGUAGCCGACCUGAGAGGGUGAUCGGCCACACUGGAACUGAGACACGGUCCAGACUCCUACGGGAGGCAGCAGGC